AGUGGGGAAUUUUGGACAAUGGGGGCAACCCUGAUCCAGCCAUGCCGCGUGCGGGAAGAAGGCCUUCGGGUUGUAAACCGCUUUUGUCAGGGAAGAAACGGCGGGGGUUAAUACCUCCUGCUAAUGACGGUACCUGAAGAAUAAGCACCGGCUAACUACGUGCCAGCAGCCGCGGUAAUACGUAGGGUGCGAGCGUUAAUCGGAAUUACUGGGCGUAAAGCGUGCGCAGGCGGUUGUGCAAGACAGGUGUGAAAUCCCCGGGCUUAACCUGGGAACUGCACUUGUGACUGUACGGCUGGAGUACGGCAGAGGGGGAUGGAAUUCCGCGUGUAGCAGUGAAAUGCGUAGAUAUGCGGAGGAACACCGAUGGCGAAGGCAGUCCCCUGGGCCUGUACUGACGCUCAUGCACGAAAGCGUGGGGAGCAAA
This 427-nucleotide ribosomal RNA is filed under the name uncultured Comamonas sp. RNAcentral describes it as "bacterial SSU rRNA". It matches the Rfam family "Bacterial small subunit ribosomal RNA", at positions 353 to 772 of the family's 1533-position model. The record is from RNAcentral. Lineage: Bacteria; Pseudomonadati; Pseudomonadota; Betaproteobacteria; Burkholderiales; Comamonadaceae.